RNAcentral lists this ribosomal RNA (303 nucleotides) under Triticum aestivum (bread wheat). RNAcentral describes it as "partial small subunit ribosomal RNA". Lineage: Eukaryota; Viridiplantae; Streptophyta; Magnoliopsida; Poales; Poaceae. The record is from RNAcentral.
AUGCGUUUGUUUCAUGCUUUUCAUAAUAACACUCUGGAUGUGGCUCGUCUAAACUAUGGUGUGAUCACCUUGAUACCCAAAAUGAAUGGUGCUAAGAAAAUCCAACAAUAUCGCCCUAUUUGUCUCCUUCGAUGUCCUUAUAAGUUGAUCACUAAGGUGAUGGAUAACAGAGUAGCUAUUUUUGCUGACAAGCUUAUCAACAAACACCAGAAUGCUUUUGUUAAGCACAGGAAUAUUAUGGAUGGGAUCCUCACUCUCCAUGAGGUGCUACACCAUACUCAUCAAAAGAAAAAAGUGGGCUAG